Molecule: ribosomal RNA, 468 nt
Filed under: uncultured bacterium
Lineage: Bacteria
Description: partial 16S ribosomal RNA
Rfam family: Bacterial small subunit ribosomal RNA
Source: RNAcentral
GACGAACGCUGGCGGCGUGCUUAACACAUGCAAGUCGAACGGAAAGGCCCUGCUUUUGUGGGGUGCUCGAGUGGCGAACGGGUGAGUAACACGUGAGUAACCUGCCCUUGACUUUGGGAUAACUUCAGGAAACUGGGGCUAAUACCGGAUAGGAGCUCCUGCUGCAUGGUGGGGGUUGGAAAGUUUCGGCGGUUGGGGAUGGACUCGCGGCUUAUCAGCUUGUUGGUGGGGUAGUGGCUUACCAAGGCUUUGACGGGUAGCCGGCCUGAGAGGGUGACCGGCCACAUUGGGACUGAGAUACGGCCCAGACUCCUACGGGAGGCAGCAGUGGGGAAUAUUGCACAAUGGGCGGAAGCUUGAUGCAGCAACGCCGCGUGCGGGAUGACGGCCUUCGGGUUGUAAACCGCUUUCGCCUGUGACGAAGCGUGAGUGACGGUAAUGGGUAAAGAAGCACCGGCUAACUACGUG